AGGUACGCUGGCGGCGUGUCUUAGCCAUGCAAGUCGAGCGGACGUUAUGGGGGUAACUUAUAAGUCAGCGGCGGACGGCGGAGUAACACGUAGCUAACCUACCCUCUGGACGGGGAUAACCUACCGAAAAGGUGGGCUAAUACCCGAUGUAGUCAGUCCUGGUAUAGGGGGUGAUGAAAGGUGGGCUUCUGUUUACAAGCUCAUGCUGGAGGAGGGGGCUGCGGCCUAUCAGGGUAGUUGGUAGGGUAAUAGCCUACCAAGCCGAUGACGGGUAGCCGGCCUGAGAGGGUGACCGGCCCGAGGGGCACUGAGAUACGGGUCCCACUCCUACGGGAGGCAGCAGGCUAGAAAUUUGGGCAAUGGGGGAAACCCUGACCCAGUGACGCCGCGUGCAGGAAGGAGCCCUUCGGGGUGUAAACUGCUGUCGUGUAGGGAGAAGGGUACUAAGGUGAACAAUCGUUAGUACUUGACGGUACUACAGGAGGAAGCCCAGGCUAACCUCGUG
This 505-nucleotide ribosomal RNA is filed under the name uncultured bacterium. RNAcentral describes it as "bacterial SSU rRNA". It matches the Rfam family "Bacterial small subunit ribosomal RNA", at positions 33 to 507 of the family's 1533-position model. The record is from RNAcentral.